RNAcentral lists this ribosomal RNA (1336 nucleotides) under uncultured cyanobacterium. Its description in RNAcentral is "bacterial SSU rRNA". It matches the Rfam family "Bacterial small subunit ribosomal RNA". Lineage: Bacteria; Bacillati; Cyanobacteriota. The record is from RNAcentral.
AAGUCGAACGAACCUUCGGGUUAGUGGCGGACGGGUGAGUAACGCGUGGGAAUCUGCCCUCAGGAGGGGGAUAACGGCCGGAAACGGCCGCUAAUACCCCAUAUGCCGAGAGGUGAAAUGAAUUUCGCCUGAGGAUGAGCCCGCGUCUGAUUAGCUAGUUGGUGAGGUAAGAGCUCACCAAGGCAUCGAUCAGUAGCUGGUCUGAGAGGAUGAUCAGCCACACUGGGACUGAGACACGGCCCAGACUCCUACGGGAGGCAGCAGUGGGGAAUUUUCCGCAAUGGGCGAAAGCCUGACGGAGCAACGCCGCGUGAGGGAUGAAGGCCUCUGGGCUGUAAACCUCUUUUAUCAAGGAAGAAGAUCUGACGGUACUUGAUGAAUAAGCCACGGCUAAUUCCGUGCCAGCAGCCGCGGUAAUACGGGAGUGGCAAGCGUUAUCCGGAAUUAUUGGGCGUAAAGCGUCCGCAGGCGGCCCUACAAGUCUGCUGUUAAAAAGUGGAGCUUAACUCCAUCAUGGCAGUGGAAACUGUUGGGCUCGAGUGUGGUAGGGGCAGAGGGAAUUCCCGGUGUAGCGGUGAAAUGCGUAGAUAUCGGGAAGAACACCAGUGGCGAAGGCGCUCUGCUGGGCCAUCACUGACGCUCAUGGACGAAAGCCAGGGGAGCGAAAGGGAUUAGAUACCCCUGUAGUCCUGGCCGUAAACGAUGAACACUAGGUGUCGGGGGAAUCGACCCCCUCGGUGUCGUAGCCAACGCGUUAAGUGUUCCGCCUGGGGAGUACGCACGCAAGUGUGAAACUCAAAGGAAUUGACGGGGGCCCGCACAAGCGGUGGAGUAUGUGGUUUAAUUCGAUGCAACGCGAAGAACCUUACCAGGGUUUGACAUCCUGCGAAUUUCUUGGAAACGAGAAAGUGCCUUCGGGAGCGCAGUGACAGGUGGUGCAUGGCUGUCGUCAGCUCGUGUCGUGAGAUGUUGGGUUAAGUCCCGCAACGAGCGCAACCCACGUCUUUAGUUGCCAGCAUUUAGUUGGGCACUCUAGAGAGACCGCCGGUGAUAAACCGGAGGAAGGUGUGGAUGACGUCAAGUCAUCAUGCCCCUUACAUCCUGGGCUACACACGUACUACAAUGCUACGGACAAAGGGCAGCAAGUUCGCGAGGACAAGCAAAUCCCAUAAACCGUGGCUCAGUUCAGAUCGUAGGCUGCAACUCGCCUACGUGAAGGAGGAAUCGCUAGUAAUCGCAGGUCAGCAUACUGCGGUGAAUACGUUCCCGGGCCUUGUACACACCGCCCGUCACACCAUGGAAGUUGGCCACGCCCGAAGCCGUUACUCCAACCCUU